Long non-coding RNA from Pygocentrus nattereri (red-bellied piranha), 2108 nucleotides. NCBI's taxonomy places the organism in Eukaryota, Metazoa, Chordata, Actinopteri, Characiformes, Serrasalmidae. The record is from Ensembl.
GUAUUGUUGUCUGGUCCUCAACUUCUCCACUUGUCUCAUCAACACUUUUAUCUUGCAAGUCUUCCUCAUCACUACUAUCUGAGUUUCCCUCUGUACACAUUGCAAUAGGAGUCCAUUCCUCAUCAUCAUCAUCUUCCCCUAACUGCUCCAGGUCAUUUGAAUCGCCAUCUAAAAUCAUCUUCAGGGCAUCUUCAACACUGUUUUUGAAUUGCUCAUAACAGAGUUCUAAAUUGCCUCAAGAAGCAACAUCAGGGGCCUUAUGAAAUCGGUUUUCAUGGCCGAUGGCACAAUGCCAAGCUUUGGCUGGACGCUGGACACUGGACAGUGGAGUAGUGGAAACUGGCAGACUAAUGGACAAAUCUGGGUUUGGCAGAUGCCAGGAGAAUGCUACCCACCAAAAUGCAUAAUGCCCAGUUAGGUGAUGGAGAUAAAAUAGUGUGUGGCUGUUUUGGGCUUGGCUUAUUAGUUCCAACAGAGCAACACCACCUUCAGAAGAAAGCAGCAAGUCAGACACCCAGGAAGAUGUUGAAGAUCACGAUUUCUCUUCAUGUGCAGAUGAGGAGCGGAAGCCAUACUACCCUAACCAAAAAGACCUCAACGAUCUGAUCAGAGACCUUGGUCUCACUAAGUCCAACGCUGAGCUUCUGACAUCAAGGCUCAAGCAAUGGAACUUAUUAGAUGAAAGCAUCCAAGUCACAAUGCCUAUAGUGUUCUUAGUCUGACUGUAUAAAUGAGAAGAUGCAAAAUCGUCUGUUUCUAUAAUAAAAAUUCAUAAUUUUCGUUGCCGUGGUCACAAAAGCGAAGUUUAUGAUGAACGUAAGCAAUUUUUAAUUUGUUUUAGACAUAAACAAUUGGAAUAUAACAUUAAAAAGCUGUGAACAAAACUUGUGUUACAUAGUGUUAUCAACCAGACAAUAAACUUAUGUGUGACUCAAAACUCAAAGUGAAACAGUUGUGCAGUUGCUUUUAGGUGCAAGUUUGGGCGUGCCAGAAAGGACUGCUUUCACAGUUAAACCACUUCCCGUUUCAUUUGGAUAAAAACAAGUUCUUGUUUCUUGUUCAGUGUAGGCUGAGAAAAGUAGGAUGACAACUUUUCAAAACCCAUAUACAAAACCCUUGGAUCAGGCCUCUGGGACAACAAUCGCAAGACAAAUACAGCACGAGCUGACGUCCUACACAUACAAACAAAUUUAUUCAUCAGCAGUUUCAGUGUUUAGUACAACCCCAUUUUUUUACAACCCCAACUUCUGAAAGAGUCAGUCUCUCUGAGAUACUCUUUUUAUACCAGUCAUGUUACUGACCUGUUGCUAAUUAACCACCAUUUUUUAGCAUUGCACAACGUUACCAGUCUUUUGUUGUCCCUGUCUUAACUUUUUAAACACAUGUAGCUGGCAUCACAUUUAAAUUGGACAUUUACUACGAUAUAAUAAUUCAAUUUCCCAAUUUCAGUGUUUAAUAUGUCUUUGUAUUUUUUUCAGUAAAUAGAGGGUUGAAAAGAUUUGCACAUCAUUGUGUUCUGUUUUUAUUUAAACAAACAAGAAAAACACAUUCAUCUACCUUUAAACUAACAGAACAACAACAAUAACAACGUUAAAUAAUGCUGUUUAGAAGGACAUGUCUUUAUGAUGAUCCUUCACCCAUGGCUGCUUGUAAAGCCAUGACUCCCAAGCUCCUCAAAGAAAGUGGCAGUCAUUAGCAAGUCGCUACAAUGUUUAGUAGUAUUUAGUUUGAUAACGGCCAUGAAUUUUGGAACUUGUGUUUGGACAUUUGUAUUUAGUUUUUUUGUUGUAAUUUUCAUUAAUUUUCACAUGUUUUUCAUUGUAUAGAAAUAGCCUACUGCAUUAAAAAGCAGAAGUGAUUUUGCAUUUAUAAUGUAAGCAAUGCUAUGCUAAGGUCAUAAACAAAUGCAUGAUUCAUGACUUGUUGUAAAUGAUAUGUAAAUAAAUACUUAAAAAAGAAAUAUUGCCUGUGUGGGGUGUAGUGGAUGCUCAUGUGACCUUCUAAUUUCUCCCAUAAUCCAAACUUAAACAGUAGUAUAAGAGCAAGCAUUUACAAGUGCAAGUAAAACUAUAAAAACAUUAGAUGUAUUUUUUCACAUUUAAUUCAGG